This 107-nucleotide ribosomal RNA is filed under the name Macaca mulatta (Rhesus monkey). Lineage: Eukaryota; Metazoa; Chordata; Mammalia; Primates; Cercopithecidae. The record is from RNAcentral.
GAGUACAGCCACACCACUCUGAACACGCCCGCUCUUCUCUGAUCUCAGAAGCUAAGCAGGGUCGGGCCUGGUUAGUACUUGGAUGGGAGAAAUAGAUCUUGAAUUUU